UCAGGCUCUGCUUUGCCAGAACAAGAGUCAGCUGGAGAGGAGCAGGCUUGGUUCAUGCUGAAUUUGUCUCUGGAAGGAACCAAGCAUGACUGUUCUCUGAGAGGACCAACAAGCAGUUGACUGAGACAGAAGUAGAUACUUACACCCAACUACUGGACAGAAGUCGGGGAUCUCUAUGGUUGAAUUAAGGGAUGGAUUGAAGAAGCAGAUGAGAAGGGUGAUUCCAUAGGAAGACCAGCUGUCUCAACUCACACAGACCCCUGGGAGCUCCCAGGGACUGAGCCACCAACCAGACAUCAUACAUGCGCUGAUCCAAGGCCCCCAACACAUAUACAGCAGAGGACUGCCUGUAGAAGAUGCUCCAGUCCUGGAGAGACUUGAGGCCCCAGAGAGGGCGGAGUCCUGGUGGUUGGAGAGCAUCCUCUCGGGGACAGGGGGAAUGAGGUGAGGAAUUGUGGGAGGAGGGUUGGCGGGGCAAUGGCUGAAUUGUAAAUAAAUAAAUUUAAAGUUUAAAAAAAAUCAAAAACCACAACAAAAAAAAUCUCCCUCAUGUAACCCAGACUAGUCUUGAACUUGUGGUCCUUCUGUCCUUGCCCUCCAAAUGCUGAGUUACAGGUGCACACCAGUGUGCCUUGCUGUCACCAUAUUUAUACGGCCAUUUAUAUCUGCCAAGACAAAAUAGCCACAACUUGCUAACCCUGGCUAAUGAGCAUACUGUUGUUUGUUGUAACAUUCUUUGUGUUUACUGAAGUUUGAAUAUUUUCCAAGACACGUAAAAGCAUUACUGUAAGUGCUCUUAACAAUGGUGAGUAGGAAGAGGGCCAUUAAAAGACCAUUCAAAACA
Apodemus sylvaticus (European woodmouse) is the source of this 844-nucleotide long non-coding RNA. RefSeq lists it as uncharacterized. NCBI's taxonomy places the organism in Eukaryota, Metazoa, Chordata, Mammalia, Rodentia, Muridae. The record is from RefSeq and is a predicted model, not a curated record. The transcript is spliced from 2 exons.